GAUGAACGCUAGCUACAGGCUUAACACAUGCAAGUCGAGGGGAAACGACAUCGAAAGCUUGCUUUUGAUGGGCGUCGACCGGCGCACGGGUGAGUAACGCGUAUCCAACCUGCCCACCACUUGGGGAUAACCUUGCGAAAGUAAGACUAAUACCCAAUGAUAUCCCACGAAGACAUCUGAAUGGGAUUAAAGAUUUAUCGGUGAUGGAUGGGGAUGCGUCUGAUUAGCUUGUUGGCGGGGUAACGGCCCACCAAGGCAACGAUCAGUAGGGGUUCUGAGAGGAAGGUCCCCCACAUUGGAACUGAGACACGGUCCAAACUCCUACGGGAGGCAGCAGUGAGGAAUAUUGAUCAAUGGGCGAGAGCCUGAACCAGCCAAGUAGCGUGCAGGAAGACGGCCCUAUGGGUUGUAAACUGCUUUUAUAAGGGAAUAAAGUGGGUCACGUGUGACUUUUUACAUGUACCUUAUGAAUAAGGACCGGCUAAUUCCGUG
Molecule: ribosomal RNA, 492 nt
Filed under: uncultured bacterium
Lineage: Bacteria
Description: partial 16S ribosomal RNA
Rfam family: Bacterial small subunit ribosomal RNA
Source: RNAcentral